AGUCGAACGAAGCGCUUAAAUGGAUUUCUUCGGAUUGAAGUUUUUGUGACUGAGUGGCGGACGGGUGAGUAACGCGUGGGUAACCUGCCUCAUACAGGGGGAUAACAGUUAGAAAUGACUGCUAAUACCGCAUAAGCGCACAGUGCUGCAUGGCACAGUGUGAAAAACUCCGGUGGUAUGAGAUGGACCCGCGUCUGAUUAGCUAGUUGGUGGGGUAACGGCCUACCAAGGCGACGAUCAGUAGCCGGCCUGAGAGGGUGAACGGCCACAUUGGGACUGAGACACGGCCCAAACUCCUACGGGAGGCAGCAGUGGGGAAUAUUGCACAAUGGGGGAAACCCUGAUGCAGCGACGCCGCGUGAGCGAAGAAGUAUUUCGGUAUGUAAAGCUCUAUCAGCAGGGAAGAAAAUGACGGUACCUGACUAAGAAGCACCGGCUAAAUACGUGCCAGCAGCCGCGGUAAUACGUAUGGUGCAAGCGUUAUCCGGAUUUACUGGGUGUAAAGGGAGCGUAGACGGUUGUGUAAGUCUGAUGUGAAAGCCCGGGGCUCAACCCCGGGACUGCAUUGGAAACUAUGUAACUAGAGUGUCGGAGAGGUAAGCGGAAUUCCUAGUGUAGCGGUGAAAUGCGUAGAUAUUAGGAGGAACACCAGUGGCGAAGGCGGCUUACUG
Molecule: ribosomal RNA, 671 nt
Filed under: uncultured Lachnospiraceae bacterium
Lineage: Bacteria; Bacillati; Bacillota; Clostridia; Lachnospirales; Lachnospiraceae
Description: bacterial SSU rRNA
Rfam family: Bacterial small subunit ribosomal RNA
Source: RNAcentral